CCUUGACAAAGAGAUGUGACUGAAAACACUCAGUGAAACAGCAAACCAGUACUACUGAAAAAAAAAAAAAAAAAAAAAUCGUACACUUGUUUUUGUUUCAAAGAUGGCAAAGCUUUCUCCUUCCUUUUACCUCCUUCUGGCGUUCCUUAUUGUUAUCUCAGUUGAGAAGAUGGUGCCCUUGGUGGAUGCAAAGAGCUGCUACACAUCUACGGGGGACUGCCCAAGCCAGGCCAUAUGCAAAGCUCGGUGCGCGAAGCAAUACCCUGGGAGUGUGGGAUUUUGUCUCAGUACUGUUUAUCCCUUUCUUCAAUGUAUGUGCAAAAGAUGUUGAUAGAAUGAUACCUCGAAAAUGGUAGUGGGGUUUAAUAUCUUUGUCUCUAAUAAAUGAAUAAGUGGCUUGUUAAUUUAACUA
Molecule: long non-coding RNA, 412 nt
Organism: Macadamia integrifolia
Lineage: Eukaryota; Viridiplantae; Streptophyta; Magnoliopsida; Proteales; Proteaceae
Exons: 2
Source: RefSeq, a predicted model, not a curated record